Molecule: ribosomal RNA, 465 nt
Filed under: uncultured bacterium
Lineage: Bacteria
Description: bacterial SSU rRNA
Rfam family: Bacterial small subunit ribosomal RNA
Source: RNAcentral
UUUAAACGCUGGCGGCAUGCUUUACACAUGCAAGUCGAACCGGCAGCGCGGGCUUGCCGUGCCGGCGAGUGGCGAACGGGUGAGUAAUGCAUCGGAACGUACCCAAGUCGUGGGGGAUAACACAUCGAAAGAUGUGCUAAUACCGCAUACGUCCUGAGGGAGAAAGCGGGGGACCUUCGGGCCUCGCGCGAUUGGAGCGGCCGAUGUCAGAUUAGCUAGUAGGUGGGGUAAAGGCCCACCUAGGCGACGAUCUGUAGCGGGUCUGAGAGGAUGAUCCGCCACACUGGGACUGAGACACGGCCCAGACUCCUACGGGAGGCAGCAGUGGGGAAUUUUGGACAAUGGGGGCAACCCUGAUCCAGCCAUGCCGCGUGAGUGAAGAAGGCCUUCGGGUUGUAAAGCUCUUUCGGCCGGGAAGAAAUCGCAUUCUCUAACAUAGUAUGUGGAUGACGGUACCGGACUAAG